This is a long non-coding RNA of Saccostrea echinata, 1322 nucleotides long. RefSeq lists it as uncharacterized. The record is from RefSeq and is a predicted model, not a curated record. NCBI's taxonomy places the organism in Eukaryota, Metazoa, Mollusca, Bivalvia, Ostreida, Ostreidae. The transcript has 2 exons.
GUAUAUGUCUGCUCAUCUGGCAAUCUUAGGACAUCACUGGAUGGUUUUGUUUAAAAAGAUUACAGAGUUAACACACACUUCCAGCAUGAAGACCAGCCAGUUGCCUCACCUGUCCUGACAUUGUUAAAGUACUUUGUGACAGUGAAAAGACAUGGCUUUAAAUUACUGCAUCAGAGAUCAAUCCAGGUUAUAAAUCUGAGGAAAACAAUAAAGCAUCACUUCGAGCUACUUAUAUCACUGCCUUAAUAAGUUGUCUGCAUGUGUAACUAACAAAGGACAGUGACCAGUUGUACCUAUGAUAUCAGAGGGCAUCCUGAAAAACACUCAUCACUAAGAAUAGAAAACUUCAAAUGACUUUUGUAUCAAUCCUUUUGAAUUUCAUCUGGCUUGGAAUUUCAGUAGCCUUUAGCAUCCUUCAAGCAUUUCAUGAAGUACAUGUACCAAUUUGCAGGUAUAAAAUGUUUGAAACAGAUUGCUUGUCCCAAAUAAAAAAAAGUAAAUUCUCUGCCAAUUAAUAGUGUCAUAAGCAGUUGAUUGAUAUCACAGUUCCACUGGCAUAGUAUUUGUAGUUGAAUGGUGCCAUUUUUAAGAAAACUUUUCACAAAAACCUGGAAAACAUCAGAUGGAAAGGAGCAUCUACAAGAAAAACAGUGAACACUUUCUUGAAUAUUAACAAUGAUAUGUCAUGUCCAUUUACAUCCUUUAUAUAAACUAAUUAACCAAAUCAUAGAGAAUUAUGUACAAAUUUGUCCUUUUGUGUAUUCAUAGUGUAUUAAAUUGAUUUUACUAAUUUAUAAAUAUUUAUGUUUUUCACAGUCAUUAACAUUUACAAAUAGAAGUACAUAUAACAUGAAAAUAUUACAUGUUUAGUAGGAUAACGUGAAAUUGUUAUACCACAAAAACCAUCGCUGACCUCGCCUCGGUCAGCAAUGGUUUUUAAGGGGUAAGAAUUUCACAUCACCCAAAAUAAACAGGUAAUAUUUUUCUUGUUAUAGAAUGCAUUUUAAAGAAAACAACAAGGUGAAACGAACGUGCAAACAUUCUGCACAGUUAACAUUUUUUAUUACUAUAUAUACUGUUACCCGUAGUCAUGCAUUUUCAACCAUUGGGAUGUAAUGUCUGGCAUGCAGUAUGGUAAUACCGGUAGUACUUGUUAACAAAUGUUUUUUAAACCAAUCAAAUUUGACUAUUUAACAUGAAAGUGUAUAACAAAUUUAUCUAGCAUAAUGGUGUUGUAAGUAACCAUGGAAUGUGAGCUUGUGUGAACUUGAUCCUGAAUUAUUAAGUUUUGAAUAUUGUAAUAAAGAAUUGUGCAGCCUAAA